UACGAAGGGGGCUAGCGUUGCUCGGAAUAACUGGGCGUAAAGGGUGCGUAGGCGGGUCUUUAAGUCAGGGGUGAAAUCCUGGAGCUCAACUCCAGAACUGCCUUUGAUACUGAAGAUCUUGAGUUCGGGAGAGGUGAGUGGAACUGCGAGUGUAGAGGUGAAAUUCGUAGAUAUUCGCAAGAACACCAGUGGCGAAGGCGGCUCACUGGCCCGAUACUGACGCUGAGGCACGAAAGCGUGGGGAGCAAACAGG
RNAcentral lists this ribosomal RNA (253 nucleotides) under uncultured bacterium. RNAcentral describes it as "partial 16S ribosomal RNA". It matches the Rfam family "Bacterial small subunit ribosomal RNA", at positions 524 to 776 of the family's 1533-position model. The record is from RNAcentral.